UACGUAGGGUGCAAGCGUUGUCCGGAAUUAUUGGGCGUAAAGAGCUCGUAGGCGGUUUGUCGCGUCGGCUGUGAAACCUCGGGGCUCAACCCCGAGCCUGCAGUCGAUACGGGCAAACUAGAGUGUGGUAGGGGAGACUGGAAUUCCUGGUGUAGCGGUGAAAUGCGCAGAUAUCAGGAGGAACACCAAUGGCGAAGGCAGCUCGCUGGAACGGUACUGACGCUGAGGCGCGAAAGCGUGGGGAGCGAACAGG
Molecule: ribosomal RNA, 253 nt
Filed under: uncultured bacterium
Lineage: Bacteria
Description: partial 16S ribosomal RNA
Rfam family: Bacterial small subunit ribosomal RNA
Source: RNAcentral